Molecule: ribosomal RNA, 253 nt
Filed under: uncultured bacterium
Lineage: Bacteria
Description: partial 16S ribosomal RNA
Rfam family: Bacterial small subunit ribosomal RNA
Source: RNAcentral
UACGUAGGGUGCAAGCGUUGUCCGGAAUUAUUGGGCGUAAAGAGCUCGUAGGCGGUCUGUCGCGUCUGCUGUGAAAACUCAGGGCUUAACCCUGGGCUUGCAGUGGGUACGGGCAGACUAGAGUGCGGUAGGGGUGACUGGAAUUCCUGGUGUAGCGGUGGAAUGCGCAGAUAUCAGGAGGAACACCGAUGGCGAAGGCAGGUCACUGGGCCGCAACUGACGCUGAGGAGCGAAAGCAUGGGGAGCGAACAGG